Molecule: ribosomal RNA, 460 nt
Filed under: uncultured bacterium
Lineage: Bacteria
Description: partial 16S ribosomal RNA
Rfam family: Bacterial small subunit ribosomal RNA
Source: RNAcentral
CCUACGGGUGGCAGCAGUGAGGAAUAUUGGUCAAUGGGCGCGAGCCUGAACCAGCCAAGUAGCGUGAAGGAUGACUGCCCUACGGGUUGUAAAUUUUUUUUAUAAAGGAAUAAAGUGAGGCACGUGUGCCUUUUUGUAUGUCCUUUAUGAAUAAGGCUCGGCUAACUCCGUGCCAGCAGCCGCGGUAAUACGGAGGAUCCGAGCGUUAUCCGGAUUUAGUGGGUUUAAAGGGAGCGUAGAUGGGUGGUUAAGUCAGUUGUGAAAGUUUGCGGCUCAACCGUAAGAUUGCAAUUGAUACUGGCAGUCUUGAGUACAGUUGAGGUAGGCGGAAUUCGGGGUGUAGCGGUGAAAUGCGUAGAUAUCACGAAGAACUCCGAUUGCGAAGGCAGCUUACUAAACUGCCACUGACAUUGAUGCUCGAAAGUGUGGGUAUCAAACAGGAUUAGAUACCCCUGUAGUC